RNAcentral lists this ribosomal RNA (453 nucleotides) under uncultured bacterium. RNAcentral's name for it is "bacterial SSU rRNA". It matches the Rfam family "Bacterial small subunit ribosomal RNA", at positions 29 to 521 of the family's 1533-position model. The record is from RNAcentral.
AACGAACGCUGGCGGCAUGCCUAACACAUGCAAGUCGAACGGGAUCCUAGCUUGCUAGGUGAGAGUGGCGGACGGGUGAGUAACACGUGGGAAUCUGCCUUUUGGUUCGGGAUAACCGCGGGAAACUGCGGCUAAUACCGAAUGCCCUCGUGAGAGGAAAGAUUUAUCGCCAGAAGAGGAGCCCGCGUCCGAUUAGGUAGUUGGUGGGGUAAAGGCCUACCAAGCCGACGAUCGGUAGCUGGUCUGAGAGGAUGAUCAGCCACACUGGGACUGAGAUACGGCCCAGACUCCUACGGGAGGCAGCAGUGGGGAAUAUUGGACAAUGGGGGCAACCCUGAUCCAGCAAUGCCGCGUGGGUGAUGAAGGCCUUCGGUUGUAAAGCCCUUUUGGCGGGGACGAUGAUGACGGUACCCGCAGAAGAAGCCCCGGCUAACUCGUGCCAGCAGCCGCGGU